This 253-nucleotide ribosomal RNA is filed under the name uncultured bacterium. Its description in RNAcentral is "partial 16S ribosomal RNA". It matches the Rfam family "Bacterial small subunit ribosomal RNA", at positions 524 to 776 of the family's 1533-position model. The record is from RNAcentral.
UACAGAGGGGGCAAGCGUUAUUCGGAAUUAUUGGGCGUAAAGGGCGCGUAGGCGGCUUGGCAAGUGGAUGGUGAAAUCCCUCGGCUUAACCGAGGAACUGCCGUCCAAACUGCUUAGCUUGAGACCGGGAGAGGUGAGUGGAAUUCCCAGUGUAGCGGUGAAAUGCGUAGAUAUUGGGAGGAACACCAGUGGCGAAGGCGGCUCACUGGACCGGUACUGACGCUGAGGUGCGAAAGCGUGGGGAGCAAACAGG